RNAcentral lists this transfer RNA (72 nucleotides) under Ovis aries (sheep). It matches the Rfam family "tRNA". From Rfam's summary of the family: Transfer RNA (tRNA) molecules are approximately 80 nucleotides in length. Their secondary structure includes four short double-helical elements and three loops (D, anti-codon, and T loops). The record is from Rfam by way of RNAcentral. Lineage: Eukaryota; Metazoa; Chordata; Mammalia; Artiodactyla; Bovidae.
UUCCCUAUAGCUCAGAUGAUAGAGAAUCUGCCUGCAAUGCAGGAGGCCCAGGUUUGAUCCCUGGUCAGGAAG